UGAUUAUGACGUACUUGUACUGAUUGAGAUUUUAACACGAAGUGAGUGGCGAACGGGUGAGUAACACGUGGGUAACCUGCCCAGAAGUAGGGGAUAACACCUGGAAACAGAUGCUAAUACCGUAUAACAGAGAAAACCGCAUGGUUUUCUUUUAAAAGAUGGCUCUGCUAUCACUUCUGGAUGGACCCGCGGCGUAUUAGCUAGUUGGUGAGGUAAAGGCUCACCAAGGCAGUGAUACGUAGCCGACCUGAGAGGGUAAUCGGCCACAUUGGGACUGAGACACGGCCCAGACUCCUACGGGAGGCAGCAGUAGGGAAUCUUCCACAAUGGACGCAAGUCUGAUGGAGCAACGCCGCGUGAGUGAAGAAGGGUUUCGGCUCGUAAAGCUCUGUUGUUAAAGAAGAACGUGGGUAAGAGUAACUGUUUACCCAGUGACGGUAUUUAACCAGAAAGCCACGGCUAACUACGUGCCAGCAGCCGCGGUAAUACGUAGGUGGCAAGCGUUAUCCGGAUUUAUUGGGCGUAAAGCGAGCGCAGGCGGUCUUUUAAGUCUAAUGUGAAAGCCUUCGGCUCAACCGAAGAAGUGCAUUGGAAACUGGGAGACUUGAGUGCAGAAGAGGACAGUGGAACUCCAUGUGUAGCGGUGAAAUGCGUAGAUAUAUGGAAGAACACCAGUGGCGAAGGCGGCUGUCUGGUCUGCAACUGACGCUGAGGCUCGAAAGCAUGGGUAGCGAACAGGAUUAGAUACCCUGGUAGUCCAUGCCGUAAACGAUGAUUACUAAGUGUUGGAGGGUUUCCGCCCUUCAGUGCUGCAGCUAACGCAUUAAGUAAUCCGCCUGGGGAGUACGACCGCAAGGUUGAAACUCAAAAGAAUUGACGGGGGCCCGCACAAGCGGUGGAGCAUGUGGUUUAAUUCGAAGCUACGCGAAGAACCUUACCAGGUCUUGACAUCUUCUGACAGUCUAAGAGAUUAGAGGUUCCCUUCGGGGACAGAAUGACAGGUGGUGCAUGGUUGUCGUCAGCUCGUGUCGUGAGAUGUUGGGUUAAGUCCCGCAACGAGCGCAACCCUUAUUACUAGUUGCCAGCAUUAAGUUGGGCACUCUAGUGAGACUGCCGGUGACAAACCGGAGGAAGGUGGGGACGACGUCAAAUCAUCAUGCCCCUUAUGACCUGGGCUACACACGUGCUACAAUGGAUGGUACAACGAGUCGCGAGACCGCGAGGUUAAGCUAAUCUCUUAAAACCAUUCUCAGUUCGGACUGUAGGCUGCAACUCGCCUACACGAAGUCGGAAUCGCUAGUAAUCGCGGAUCAGCAUGCCGCGGUGAAUACGUUCCCGGGCCUUGUACACACCGCCCGUCACACCAUGAGAGUUUGUAACACCCAAAGCCGGUGG
This 1395-nucleotide ribosomal RNA is filed under the name Pediococcus pentosaceus. RNAcentral describes it as "bacterial SSU rRNA". It matches the Rfam family "Bacterial small subunit ribosomal RNA". The record is from RNAcentral. Lineage: Bacteria; Bacillati; Bacillota; Bacilli; Lactobacillales; Lactobacillaceae.